UCGGUGCGUCUGUGAGGAAGAGGGGUUUUCUCAGGGGGCCGGCUCGAGGGGGAAAUGGCCCAAGGGUGGCGCGGGCACAGGCCGCCGGCGCCUGAGGAGGACGGGCCUUGUCGGUUCCCCCCUCGGCCCUGCCCGGGCGGGAUCCCCCCCCUCACACCGGGCUCGACCCCGGUAGCAGAGCCCCGGGCCCGGGGGGGUACAUUGGGCGAAGCAUCAGACUGGCAAGAACAAAAGAAAGAGAGUUAGAAUAUGCUGAAAUAGGGAAUACUGUAACUUGAAAAAAAAGUCCUAAGUCAAAACAAACCCAGAGACCACCAACAAAAAUAUUUGGACGUUUUGAAGACCCAAGGCCCUGAGCAACCUGAUCCGAGCUCAACAGAGAAUUUACUUUAAGCAAGAUGAUGGACCUGCUGAGGCCCCUUCCAGCUACAAUUACUUCACGGCUCUGAUCAGCUGGAAGGCCGGGCUGUGUGUGUUCACACAAACGCCAGCUAUUUCCUGUCCUUCACGGGCGCUCGCUUCCUUUCCUGCGCUCAUUCUGUGCCUUCCACAGCAAUGGCUUCAUGGUGUAUUGCUGAUCUGUGACCUGCUCUUCUCUACUGCAGACUUCUGUUUGGAAAUUACUACAGCUUUUCAGUUUACAGGGGCUCAUUGCAGUCCCGGAGCUACCGGCAGUGACCAAUGAGGCUGUGGGCAUCUCUGCUCAUCCAGAAAGAAUAUUACAGACACGAAACUUGAUGGUAUCUCACAGCAAUGAAGACACCCAGAAGAAACUGGGAUGAAGCUACACCAUCACCUCAAAGGCCUGUCCUUGCUCAGGGGAACAAGUCACACAACUCCCUCACCAGCAGAAGGAAGACUUGACGUAUAUUAUUCUCCCAUGUUUCAGUUAACAAUCUUGAAGACAGACGUUGCAUCAAAAGCAUUAUGUGAUGCUUUUAGGAUGACUUGAAUUUCCUGGUGUCUAGUUCAGCAGUAGCAACUGCCAAGCACCUGCCCAGUUUGAAAGCCAAGACCCAGAGAGGAGCGGGAAGUCGCGGUGGCAUCGCCCUGCUGGAAUGGGGACUGCGGCUCCAGGAGCCAGGGCACUUCUCAAGAAUGAGAAGCCAAGAGGAAUUGCCUGUUCCCAGUAUCCUGGUACAGAAGGAGCUAGCAACCACCAGAGAGAUGAUAGAGAGCGAGCUUAAGGAGCGAUCUUCCUGGGAUGUGGAGACCAGGUAAGCAAGAAGAUCAAAACAGAGGCGCUGUGGUUGUAAGUCACACGUUAUUAGGAAAUGUAUUUCAAAGAUGCCACUUCAUUUCUGUUGCCUGCAGGGGAGUU
Molecule: long non-coding RNA, 1321 nt
Organism: Calidris pugnax (ruff)
Lineage: Eukaryota; Metazoa; Chordata; Aves; Charadriiformes; Scolopacidae
Exons: 3
Source: RefSeq, a predicted model, not a curated record